GAUGAACGCUGGCGGCGUGCCUAAUACAUGCAAGUCGAGCGAACAGACGAUGAGCUUGCUCCUCUGACGUUAGCGGCGGACGGGUGAGUAACACGUGGAUAACCUACCUAUAAGACUGGGAUAACUUCGGGACACCGGAGCUAAUACCGUAUAAUCUCUUGAAACUCAUGAUUCCAUGAUGAUAGACGGAUUUGCUCUCACUUAUCGAUGGAUCCUCGCCGCGUUAGCUAUUUGGUAAGAAAACGGCUUACCAAGCCAACGAUGAGUGACCGACCGGAGAGGGUGAUGGCCCACACUGGAACGGAGAAAGGGUCCAGAUUCCUACGGGAGGCAGCAGAAGGGAAUUUUCGGCAAAGGGGGAAAGCCUGACGGAGCAACGCCGCGUGAGUGAGGAAGGUCUUCGGAUCGUAAAACUCUGUGAUUAGGGAAGAACAAAUGUGUAAGUAACUAUGCACGUCUUGACGGUACCUAAUCAGAAAGCCACGGCUAACUACGUG
RNAcentral lists this ribosomal RNA (497 nucleotides) under uncultured bacterium. RNAcentral's name for it is "partial 16S ribosomal RNA". It matches the Rfam family "Bacterial small subunit ribosomal RNA", at positions 28 to 507 of the family's 1533-position model. The record is from RNAcentral.